CUCUGCUUUGGAAUCUGUUCUUCCUCUAUUGCACAACAACCGCGAAAUAACAGAGGGAGGGAGAAGGGGGGGUUUCUCUCUCUGGUUCUGAAAGCACUAUGUUUAGUAUGUUUGGCAGGGAUGGAGAAGGCAGGAGGUGUGUCAGACCGACAUGCUGUAUUUUGAUUCAAGAAGCUUUGUUGUCACGGGAGACGCUAUAGAGGGAGGGGCCACAGAGAGAGUGUGUGUGUAUAAAAAAGGUCCUUCAACUCCAAACUGCCUGAAGACGCAAGAUACCAGCCAGCUCUCUGCUACCAUCACCAUCAUCAUCACCAUCAUCAUCAUCACCAUCAUUAUGAGUGUGUACUGUGGUUGAAGCCAAAAUCUUCAUUACUUCUCCCUGUCUGUCAUUCUCUGCAAAUUCUCUAUUUCUCUCCCUCCCUCUCCCUCCUCUCUCUCUCUCCCCCUCCUCCUGCCCCCUUUCCCUAUCCUCUCGCCCUCUUCUCCCUCUUCCUUUCUCUCAGAGGAAGUGGUAUGAAGUGGAGGGCAGGUCACAUGACUGCUGUAUGAUGUCAUCGGCGGGUGUUAUUGGGCUGAGGGGCCACAGCCGGGGUUCUGGCAGACAGAUCUGUGGUUUGGCCGUCCUCACAGGUGCCUGUCUGACUCUGAAACAUCUGACUGGGACUGUUACCAUGUUACCGUCUCUACAGUAACAAUCUAAAGCCACGGUCGCCAUGGAGACAGCAGGGAGAAGGAGGAGUGGGAGUUGGCAUGGUAACUGGAGAUGGCGAUGUCCGAUUGGCUCUUGGGUGGAUACGACGUGCGCACAUCAGCAUAGAAAUCCCCCAAUACUGGCCCAUGCAGUCAGGCUGGCUCACACACAGGGGCACGAGGCAGAGAGAAGAGGAGAAAGAGGGAGUUUGGGGGGGAGAGAGGGAGAGCAAGGAAGAGAGGAAUAAAUGGGGGAGAAAGAGAGAGAGGAGAAGAGAGCGUUGUGGAGUUUUUGUGGAGUCCUCUGGAAAGUUGCGACGAGGACAUUCCUAGAGACUUACCAAGACAUGCCAUAUCUUAAUUUGCCCAGUUUCACACAGCAUGAAAAUAAUCCUGCAGCAACAGGAAAUGUGAAUUGUUAUGUGGAUUAUAAUUCAUGGAUUUUUUUGUUGUUGUAGGGGUUGAUACACUCUUUUUGUUGGACAAAUCAAGUCUGACGUUUUCAAAUACACUACACAUUUACAUUUCCUGUUGUGAAGGAAAAUUCCUGCAACAACAGGAUGAUCAAAUUAAGACGACAUCUGUACAAUACCAUUGUCAGGGUGUUAGUUAACCUAAACUAUAGUUUCCAUAGCCGCACUUCCAGGGCGAUGUCUCCAGGACAGGUAGUGUUGCCACGGCGAGUUGCCAGGCAUCAGUAGCCAUGACUGUAGACUGUUACUGUAACUGUGAGACUUUUUUUUAAAGCAGUAAGCAGUCUAAAGCCAAGGUGCUGAUGCUCUGGCAGUCAGGGGGUCGUAACCACGGUAACCAGGAGAAGGAGGGAGAGAACAGGUCGGAUAGCCUACAUACCACUGCACCUGCAAUGAAAAGAAGAGAAGAGAAGAUGUUUAAAAAAAAAAAAAAAAAGUUAAAAUAUUGUACAUCCCAAAAUGCCUUACUUUUGACCAGAGACCUUUUUCUAUUUGGGACACAACCUUCAUGGGAGGCUUUCUUCCUGUUUCGUUCCCUAAUGUCAUUAUGUUAAUGAUCAGAAAGAAAAACAAACCACGACGGUCAGUGUCCCAGUACGUAUAUCUGCCAAUGGGAACGGUCAGUGUCCCAGUACGUAUAUCUGCCAAUGGGAACGGUCAGUGUCCCAGUACGUAUAUCUGCCAAUGGGAACGGUCAGUGUCCCAGUACGUAUAUCUGCCAAUGGG
Molecule: long non-coding RNA, 1889 nt
Filed under: Salmo salar (Atlantic salmon)
Lineage: Eukaryota; Metazoa; Chordata; Actinopteri; Salmoniformes; Salmonidae
Description: lncRNA (ENSSSAG00000106617.1)
Source: RNAcentral